This 429-nucleotide ribosomal RNA is filed under the name Bacteroidota bacterium. Its description in RNAcentral is "Bacteroidetes bacterium partial 16S ribosomal RNA". It matches the Rfam family "Bacterial small subunit ribosomal RNA", at positions 355 to 776 of the family's 1533-position model. Lineage: Bacteria; Pseudomonadati; Bacteroidota. The record is from RNAcentral.
UAGGGAAUCUUCCGCAAUGGACGCAAGUCUGACGGAGCAACGCCGCGUGAGUGAAGAAGGAUUUCGGUUCGUAAAACUCUGUUGUUAGAGAAGAACAGCGCAUAGAGUAACUGUUAUGCGUGUGACGGUAUCUAACCAGAAAGCCACGGCUAACUACGUGCCAGCAGCCGCGGUAAUACGUAGGUGGCAAGCGUUGUCCGGAUUUAUUGGGCGUAAAGCGAGCGCAGGCGGUCAAUUAAGUCUGAUGUGAAAGCCCCCGGCUCAACCGGGGAGGGUCAUUGGAAACUGGUAGACUUGAGUGCAGAAGAGGAGAGUGGAAUUCCAUGUGUAGCGGUGAAAUGCGUAGUUAUAUGGAGGAACACCAGUGGCGAAGGCGACUCUCUGGUCUGUAACUGACGCGGAGGCUCGAAAGCGUGGGUAGCAAACAGG